UACGUAGGUGGCAAGCGUUGUCCGGAAUUAUUGGGCGUAAAGAGCUCGUAGGCGGCUCGGUAAGUCGGAUGUGAAAACUCCAGGCUCAACCUGGAGGGGCCAUUCGAUACUGCCAUGGCUAGAGUCCGGUAGAGGAGUGCGGAAUUCCCGGUGUAGCGGUGAAAUGCGCAGAUAUCGGGAGGAACACCAGUGGCGAAGGCGGCACUCUGGGCCGGAACUGACGCUGAGGAGCGAAAGCGUGGGGAGCAAACAGG
RNAcentral lists this unclassified non-coding RNA (254 nucleotides) under uncultured Acidimicrobiia bacterium. Its description in RNAcentral is "contains 16S-23S intergenic spacer region". It matches the Rfam family "Bacterial small subunit ribosomal RNA", at positions 524 to 776 of the family's 1533-position model. The record is from RNAcentral. Lineage: Bacteria; Bacillati; Actinomycetota; Acidimicrobiia.